Molecule: ribosomal RNA, 332 nt
Filed under: uncultured eukaryote
Lineage: Eukaryota
Description: partial 18S ribosomal RNA
Rfam family: Eukaryotic small subunit ribosomal RNA
Source: RNAcentral
CCCUUAGAUGUUCUGGGCUGCACACGUGCUACACUGGCAGGUUCAGCGAGCUUCAUGCCCUGAUCUGAAAGGAAUGGGAAAUCUUUUCAAAACCUGCCGUGCUUGGGAUAGAUGUUUGCAAUUAUUCAUCUUCAACGAGGAUUGCCUUGUAAGCGCACGUCAUCAGCGUGCAUUGAAUACGACCCUGUAUUCUGUACACACCUCCCGUCGCUCCUACCGAUUGAAGUUUUCGGUGAGUUGACAGGAGGAUUUUUUUGAAACUGGUUCGCCAGUGGAUUUUAGAUCCAAAUGCCAACGAAUCGAUGGCUUUAGAGGAAGGAGAAGUCGUAACA